GUUUCCGUAGGUGAACCUGCUGCUGGAUCAUUAC
RNAcentral lists this ribosomal RNA (34 nucleotides) under Meloidogyne incognita (southern root-knot nematode). RNAcentral describes it as "partial 18S ribosomal RNA". The record is from RNAcentral. RNAcentral also lists the same sequence under 23 other names. Lineage: Eukaryota; Metazoa; Nematoda; Chromadorea; Rhabditida; Meloidogynidae.